AUGAGUUCCUGCCUUUCCCAUAUCAUCAAGGAUCAUUCCCUUGCAUUCAUUUGCUUGCAAGAAACCCAUAAGAAGAAUUUCCACGAUACUUAUUUUAGGAAGAUUGACUCUUAUAAUGCUUUUGAGUCGGAGUGGGUCCCCUUAGUGGGAAAAUCUGGAGGAAUUUUAUGUGGGGUUAGAAAAGAGAGGUUUGAAGUAGUUGCCUGGAGGAAAGGCAAGUUUAUCCUCCAGGUUACUAUUUAUGACGACAAAAUUAAGAAGAUGUGGACACUAUGCACUGUCUAUGGGGUAGCUCAUGAUUGUGACAAACAAGACUUCCUUAUAGAGCUAGCUGAUUUUUGCACUCAUGUGCAAACUCCUUUACUUAUAGGAGGUGAUUUUAACAUCUUGAGGCAUGAGGGAGAAAAAAAUAAAAAUUGGCAUCGUUCUCUUUACACGGAUAUGUUUAAUUCUAUGAUUAAUACUAUGUGCUUGAAUGAGUCAAUGAGUGGGGGAUUGUACACUUGGACUAACAACCAAUCCCACCCAACUCUAGAAAAAUUAGAUCAGGUGCUUAUGAGCAAUGAUUGGGAGGAUUUAUUCCUCAAGUUAAUAAAAAAGAUAGUCAGAGAUGUUUCAGACCAUAAUGCUCAUUUGCUGUCGUUUGACAAUCAUGUUGUUAGAGUCCCACAACAAAGAGAGUAUAGGUUUGAAAUUAGUUGGCUCAAAUCUGAGUCUCUCCUCCCUUUGGCGGAUAAAAUUUGGAAUCAAUAUGUUAAGGCAACAUACCCUAUUGAUGUUUUAAACAUCAAGCUGAAACGUUUUAAAAAGUUCUUUAAAGGAUGGGGAUCUAACAAGUUUGGUCAUGAGAAAAUUCAAAAGAAAAAGAUUAGAGAGGAGCUGACUAAUAUUGAAGAGGAAGAAGAGAAAGGGGUUCUAGAUCCAGAUAUGUUUUGUAGAAAAACUGAGCUAUUAGUGGAGUUGAAUGAAAUUUUGGCUAAUGAGGAGCUCUUUUUGCUACAACAAUCUAAAGAGAGAUGGUUGCUUAAGGGUGACAGUAACACUGCCUAUUAUCAGAAGAUUCCUAAUGGCAAUAAAAGGAAAAACACCAUUCACUCCUUGAAUGUGGGGGAUCUAGUCAUAGAGGGGACUGGUAAUCUUCUGAACCAUGCCAUUGAAUUCUAUUAAAAUCUAUUUGGGCCUGCACCUGGAAACAUGCUUCAAAUCGACCUUAGUAUUUGGGGCGAGGAGGAGAAACUAGAUGAUGAGGAUAAUGAGGUUUUAUGUAGGCCUUUCUCAGAAGAGGAGGUCAAGAAUGCUUUGUUUAGUAUGAACAGUAAUAGAGCUCCUGGUCCUGAUAAUAUACCAGCUAAGUUUUAUCAGCACUUUUGGGACAUUAUGAAAAAAAGAUAUUAUGAGGCUCUUUACUGCUUUAUACGAAGGAACUCUUGA
RNAcentral lists this ribosomal RNA (1431 nucleotides) under Triticum aestivum (bread wheat). RNAcentral describes it as "partial small subunit ribosomal RNA". Lineage: Eukaryota; Viridiplantae; Streptophyta; Magnoliopsida; Poales; Poaceae. The record is from RNAcentral.